CCAGUCGGUCGGGCAGCCGCUUCGGUGUCGCGAAAGCAAUCCGAGGAGGAAAGUCCGGGCUCCAUGAAAGCACGGUGCCGGGUAACACCCGGCGGAGGCGACUCUAGGGAAAGUGCCACAGAAAGCAAACCGCCUGAUCUUGUGUCAGGUAAGGGUGAAAGGGUGAGGUAAGAGCUCACCGCGCGACCAGCAAUGGAAGCGGCAGGGUAAACCCCACCGGGAGCAAGACCGAAUAGGGACAGUGCGGUUUCGCCAGCCUGCUUUCAGGCCAGCUGUCCGGGUAGGUUGCUUGAGGCAUGCAGCAAUGUAUGUCCCAGAUGAAUGGUUGCCGCGCAAGAUUUCUUGCCAUACAAAACCCGGCUUACAGACCGACUGGUGCU
This 380-nucleotide RNase P RNA is filed under the name Cohaesibacter gelatinilyticus. RNAcentral describes it as "Bacterial RNase P class A". It matches the Rfam family "Bacterial RNase P class A". Rfam says of the family: Ribonuclease P (RNase P) is a ubiquitous endoribonuclease, found in archaea, bacteria and eukarya as well as chloroplasts and mitochondria. Its best characterised activity is the generation of mature 5'-ends of tRNAs by cleaving the 5'-leader elements of precursor-tRNAs. Lineage: Bacteria; Pseudomonadati; Pseudomonadota; Alphaproteobacteria; Hyphomicrobiales; Cohaesibacteraceae. The record is from Rfam by way of RNAcentral.